UACGGAGGAUGCGAGCGUUAUCCGGAUUUAUUGGGUUUAAAGGGUGCGUAGGCGGCCUGCCAAGUCAGCGGUAAAAUUGCGGGGCUCAGCCCCGUACAGCCGUUGAAACUGCCGGGCUCGAGUGGGCGAGAAGUAUGCGGAAUGCGUGGUGUAGCGGUGAAAUGCAUAGAUAUCACGCAGAACCCCGAUUGCGAAGGCAGCAUACCGGCGCCCUACUGACGCUGAGGCACGAAAGUGCGGGGAUCAAACAGG
Molecule: ribosomal RNA, 252 nt
Filed under: uncultured bacterium
Lineage: Bacteria
Description: partial 16S ribosomal RNA
Rfam family: Bacterial small subunit ribosomal RNA
Source: RNAcentral